UACGUAGGUGACAAGCGUUGUCCGGAUUUACUGGGCGUAAAGAGCGCGCAGGCGGUCGUUCAAGUCGAGUGUGAAAGCCCCCGGCUCAACUGGGGAGGGUCAUUCGAUACUGAUCGACUCGAAGGCAGGAGAGGGAAGUGGAAUUCCCGGUGUAGUGGUGAAAUGCGUAGAUAUCUGGAGGAACACCGGUGGCGAAGGCGGCGAUCUGGACGAUGACUGACGCUGAGACGCGAAAGCGUGGGGAGCAAACAGG
This 253-nucleotide ribosomal RNA is filed under the name uncultured bacterium. RNAcentral describes it as "partial 16S ribosomal RNA". It matches the Rfam family "Bacterial small subunit ribosomal RNA", at positions 524 to 776 of the family's 1533-position model. The record is from RNAcentral.